UCCAAACCUUUCCAACAUGCAUCAAACCUAUUCUACAACACACAAACACCAGCAUACAUGUUCCUAGGGGCCUCAAACCAUCAUAAACCCCAUCUACAACAUAUCAAGCAUCCACAUUGCUCAAGAACAUACAUUUAUACCCAUAAACAUAACCAUAACCUAAACAUGCAUUCUACCCCAUAGAUCUACUUAAAACUUACUUUAAACAUGCAAUGAGCUUAAGAUCGGCUCUUACCUCUUGAAGAUCGAGAGAGAGACGACCUAAACUC
RNAcentral lists this long non-coding RNA (269 nucleotides) under Manihot esculenta (cassava). RNAcentral describes it as "long non-coding RNA (MESC_LNC003511)". Lineage: Eukaryota; Viridiplantae; Streptophyta; Magnoliopsida; Malpighiales; Euphorbiaceae. The record is from RNAcentral.